CACAUGCAAGUCGAACGAUGAACCUGGAGCUUGCUCUAGGGAAUUAGUGGCGAACGGGUGAGUAACACGAUGAGUAACCUGCCCUUGACUCUGGGAUAACCUCCGGAAACGGAAGCUAAUACCGGAUAUGACGCACGGAGGCAUCUCCUGUGCGUGGAAAGAAUUUCGGUCAAGGAUGGACUCGCGGCCUAUCAGGUAGUUGGUGAGGUAACGGCUCACCAAGCCUACGACGGGUAGCCGGCCUGAGAGGGUGACCGGCCACACUGGGACUGAGACACGGCCCAGACUCCUACGGGAGGCAGCAGUGGGGAAUAUUGCACAAUGGGCGCAAGCCUGAUGCAGCAACGCCGCGUGAGGGAUGACGGCCUUCGGGUUGUAAACCUCUUUUAGUAGGGAAGAAGCGAAAGUGACGGUACCUGCAGAAAAAGCACCGGCUAACUACGUGCCAGCAGCCGCGGUAAUACGUAGGGUGCGAGCGUUGUCCGGAAUUAUUGGGCGUAAAGAGCUCGUAGGCGGUCUGUCGCGUCUGCUGUGAAAACCCGAGGCUCAACCUCGGGCCUGCAGUGGGUACGGGCAGACUAGAGUGCGGUAGGGGAGAAUGGAAUUCCUGGUGUAGCGGUGGAAUGCGCAGAUAUCAGGAGGAACACCGAUGGCGAAGGCCAGUUCUCUGGGCCGUAA
This 678-nucleotide ribosomal RNA is filed under the name Leifsonia sp. INBio2556G. Its description in RNAcentral is "bacterial SSU rRNA". It matches the Rfam family "Bacterial small subunit ribosomal RNA", at positions 52 to 739 of the family's 1533-position model. Lineage: Bacteria; Bacillati; Actinomycetota; Actinomycetes; Micrococcales; Microbacteriaceae. The record is from RNAcentral.